AGUGAACGCUGGCGGUAGGCCUAACACAUGCAAGUCGAACGGCAGCACAGUAAGAGCUUGCUCUUACGGGUGGCGAGUGGCGGACGGGUGAGGAAUACAUCGGAAUCUACUUUUUCGUGGGGGAUAACGUAGGGAAACUUACGCUAAUACCGCAUACGACCUACGGGUGAAAGCAGGGGAUCUUCGGACCCUGCGCGAUUGAAUGAGCCGAUGUCGGAUUAGCUAGUUGGCGGGGUAAAGGCCCACCAAGGCGACGAUCCGUAGCUGGUCUGAGAGGAGGAUCAGCCACACUAGGACAAGAGCGCCGUCCCGACGCCUACGGGAGGCGGCAGUGGGGGAUAAUGGACGAUGGGGGGAAAGCUGGUCCAACCAUAACGCGGGGGGGGAGAAGGCCUUCGGGGUUGUAAACCCUUUUUUUGGGGAAAAAAAAAAGCAGGUUGAUAACCCCCCGGUUUUCCGGGGCCAAAAAAAGAAGCACCCGCUGACUUCUUG
RNAcentral lists this ribosomal RNA (492 nucleotides) under uncultured bacterium. RNAcentral's name for it is "partial 16S ribosomal RNA". It matches the Rfam family "Bacterial small subunit ribosomal RNA", at positions 29 to 507 of the family's 1533-position model. The record is from RNAcentral.